Molecule: non-coding RNA, 224 nt
Filed under: Hymenobacter sp. APR13
Lineage: Bacteria; Pseudomonadati; Bacteroidota; Cytophagia; Cytophagales; Hymenobacteraceae
Also listed under: 1 other name
Source: RNAcentral
CUACCUUUGGGGCGUAGAGGUGGCCGGACCCCGAUUGCGGGGCGAGGCUGAAAAGGGAAUCCGGUUCAAAGCCGGAGCUGUCCCCGCAACUGUACGCUUCACGAAUCGGCGCGCCUCAGCUGCCACUGUUUCUGAGAAGGUAACUCCAGCCGGAGUUGCCGGAGAAAUGGGAAGGCGGCGCGCCAGAAGCAAGCCAGGAGACCUGCCUUUGCAUUUCCCCAUGU